GACGAACGCUGGCGGCGUGCUUAACACAUGCAAGUCGAACGGAAAGGCCCUGCUUGCCGGGUGCUCGAGUGGCGAACGGGUGAGUAACACGUGGGUGAUCUGCCCCUUACUUUGGGAUAAGCCUGGGAAACUGGGUCUAAUACUGGAUAGGACCAUGCUGUAGGUGGUGUGGUGGAAAGAUUAGUUUCGGUAAGGGAUGAGCUCGCGGCCUAUCAGCUUGUUGGUGGGGUAAUGGCCUACCAAGGCGUCGACGGGUAGCCGGCCUGAGAGGGUGGACGGCCACAUUGGGACUGAGAUACGGACCAGACUCCUACGGGAGGCAGCAGUGGGGAAUAUUGCACAAUGGGCGCAAGCCUGAUGCAGCGACGCCGCGUGGGGGAUGACGGCCUUCGGGUUGUAAACUCCUUUCAGCCAUGACGAAGCCCUUGUGGUGACGGUAGUGGUAGAAGAAGCACCGGCUAACUACGUG
Molecule: ribosomal RNA, 469 nt
Filed under: uncultured bacterium
Lineage: Bacteria
Description: partial 16S ribosomal RNA
Rfam family: Bacterial small subunit ribosomal RNA
Source: RNAcentral